This 2692-nucleotide long non-coding RNA is filed under the name Vombatus ursinus (common wombat). RNAcentral's name for it is "lncRNA (ENSVURG00010000450.1)". The record is from RNAcentral. Lineage: Eukaryota; Metazoa; Chordata; Mammalia; Diprotodontia; Vombatidae.
CCGCGCCGCUGCCGGUGCCCCGGGAGGUGUGGCUGCUGGAGACGCCCCAGGCGGCCGACUUCUGGUGCGAGGGCGAGCCCUACCCGGGCCCCAAGGUCACGCCGUGAGCGGGGCGCCCCUGGGACCCCACCCCCCCAUCCCCUGCUUCCCGGGGCGGGGAAGGGGGAGGAGCCCCGGCGCUUCCAUCCAAAAGCCAUAAUGAAUCUUCUUCCUCCCCCCUCCCCCGAAGAAGACCCCUUUCCUGGAGUAGAAAAGUCACCCAGUAACUAGUCCACCGCCCCUUUUGUUUGUGUGUCUCCAUCCCCGGGGAUGUCAUCUCCAUCCUAACGGAGUGACCGUCUGUGUGCAUGACCCCUCCGGUUUGAAUCCUCUGGAUCCGGGUGGCUGGGAAGGGGAGAUUGGCCGUAAUUGGGCGGAGGAGACUCCUACCGCGGCAAGUGUUCAAACCAAGGUAUCCAUCCGAGGACAUGGAAGAGCUGCAUUUUUUAUGCUUCCAGGCAGUUGAAUGUAAACCCCCACCCGCAAGCCUGCAGUUAAAUUCCAUAUCCCCUACUUCCAACAGUUUCCUGCCAAAGCUGAGAAAAUUAAUAUGGUGACAAAUGGUUCACUUUCCCUCCAAGACUUCGGAUCAAGCGAUCUCAUGUGCCAGUGAACUGGGGCUUCCAGCUGUGUGGCUGAUGUGUUCAGUGAUGUCGUUAUUGGCAGCAUGGUGCCAGGAGCUCUCCAAGGAGGAAUGGCUAGGAGGAGGCCUACCUCCAACUGCACCAGGCCCAAGAGAGUUUUCCCGUGGUUGCAGUGGGACAAUAAUGAUGCUGAGUUCUACCUUAUUCUUCAGAAUUCCAUUCAAAAAUGAAUAAUAAGGUUCUCAGACAAGCAGCAACUUUUGGAAAAGCUUAAGGUGCUUUCCAAAAGUUUCCCUAAAAUCGCCAUUGACCAGAAAAGGAACAAUCUCCCUUGUUUGGGGUUUUCAUUGGAUUAUUCUACCAGAUGGUCGCCAUUUGCCUUGCGUUCUCUGAGCAGGAGAGGUCAGCAGUGAUGACAACAAAAGGCACCUUUUCUAGAGCUUACUAGGACUUGAGCAAGCCAUUGAGGAAGAGAAUCCCUCCCUGCUCGAAGGCUUCAGGACCAGGGAGCAAAGGGCCAAAGGAUUCAGCUGGCACCUUGAUGCACUGAACUGACUCCAGAUGCUGCUAUGUCAUGCUCCCUCCAUCACAUGGACUGUUUAACAACCAGACAGAGAGAUGACUUAAUGUGGUUUUGAGGACUACACCUACUCCUAAGAACAUAGGGUGUUUUCUUGUUUAUUAAAAUAUAAGAGACUAAUGAGCACACUGAAAUGAAUCAUUAAAUGUUUUUCUAUUUAAUACAAAAAAUGCAAUAAUUUCCUCUUACGGGUGAGAAGUAAUUCAAUAUAAAUGUUUCUGAUGCUCUUUUUUCCCCCUUGAGUAGUAACUGUUUUUAAUAAGUAUGCUUUGCAUGGAUUAAAAUGUUGCCUGUUUGCUAUUUAUUAAUGAAAGUGCCAGUAUAUUCAAGUAGCCUGCGUGUUCUCCAUAGGGUGGAUUCCUUGAACAUUACAUUAAGAGCUGUAACUUCCUUAAGUCCACCUGUUUUAUCCUUCUUUUACAUUCGUUUUCCUUAAAGCUGCCUUAGUCAUGUCGGCUUUGGAAGAAUCCAGUCCUUGCUGAUCCAUUCCCGGUGGUUCUGUGACUUGUACUAGUUCUGCUGCCCAGAGAGGAAGGCAGUAUAUGUUUAACUUAGAACCUUUUAGCCUCGGAUGUUCCACUGUGAUCAAACAUUGGAAGGGUGAUCCUACUCCACUUGAUCUAGGAACAAGAACUUGGAGUGUCCAACCAUUUCAAGAAAGAGGUGACAGACUAGAGAGACUGAUUAUUUAGAAUACACUGAGGCAUCUGGUGUCAAACACAAAAACUUUGCUAAGCCCAGCGUAGAUUCUGCUGCUUCUGAUGGGACCAUUUGGAGUUUCUGGAUUUAAGUGUUCACUGUAUCUUUUGGAAAAUAGAGGUGUAAAAUGUUCAACUUGUACAUUUCAAUUGCUUAUUAAAGAUUGCCUGGACCAAGGGUUCUUAACCUUUUUUGUCUUGGAUUCCUCAGAAUAAUGUUUUUGAAUGCAUAAGAUACACAGUAUUACAAAGGAAGCCAAUUAUAUUGAAUUAAUUAACAACAGAAAAAUUUAAAUUCAUGGACACCAGGUUAAGAACCCUUCGCAUAUACCAGAAAUGAUUACUUUAUGUGGGAAACCGUUUCUCCUGCCCAAGUAAUAGCAACUUCAGCAAACACAUGUAGUGGAUCCUUCAAGCUCUAUGUACCUUUAAGACAUCAGAUGGAAAGCAGCUGAAACCGCAAUUUAAAAGCACAAUAUUUGCCUCAACAGACAAAACUCUUUCUCUAUUUAACAAGAAAUCUGUGUAUCAUUGAAGAAAGAAACUGGCUUAAGUUUCUUUCCUCUUCUUGUAUUUCAUCCUGUGCUGCACUUGUUCAGGGACCACUCAGCCUCUUAGCAUCUCCAGCAACACAGUGUGUUUAAUGCUGACCAUCCUCCCCACUCCCUCCCCCUAGUUCCCUUAAAAUGGCCAUCAGCUGGCAUACUAGUGUGAAUAUUUACAUGCCGGUUUAAUUUCUUCCCUUUUCCCCAGCUGUUGGGAUGCUGAAAUAAAAGAGCACACUGGUUUCA